This 24-nucleotide microRNA is filed under the name Canis lupus familiaris (dog). RNAcentral describes it as "cfa-miR-8856". The record is from miRBase by way of RNAcentral. Lineage: Eukaryota; Metazoa; Chordata; Mammalia; Carnivora; Canidae.
UGAGUACGGAGCUGGCUAGAGUGC